CCUACGGGAGGCUGCAGUGGGGAAUAUUGGACAAUGGGGGGAACCCUGAUCCAGCCAUGCCGCGUGUGUGAAGAAGGCCCUCGGGUUGUAAAGCACUUUCAGUGAGGAAGAACGCCUGGUGGUUAAUACCCAUCAGGAAAGACAGCACUCACAGAAGAAGCACCGGCUAACUCCGUGCCAGCAGCCGCGGUAAUACGGAGGGUGCGAGCGUUAAUCGGAAUUACUGGGCGUAAAGCGCGCGUAGGUGGCUUGAUAAGCCGGUUGUGAAAGCCCCGGGCUCAACCUGGGAACGGCAUCCGGAACUGUCAAGCUAGAGUACAGUAGAGGAAGGUAGAAUUCCCUGUGUAGCGGUGAAAUGCGUAGAGAUCGGGAGGAAUACCAGUGGCGAAGGCGGCCUUCUGGACUGACACUGACACUGAGGUGCGAAAGCGUGGGUAGCAAACAGGAUUAGAUACCCCGGUAGUC
RNAcentral lists this ribosomal RNA (465 nucleotides) under Vreelandella stevensii. RNAcentral describes it as "partial 16S ribosomal RNA". It matches the Rfam family "Bacterial small subunit ribosomal RNA", at positions 338 to 795 of the family's 1533-position model. Lineage: Bacteria; Pseudomonadati; Pseudomonadota; Gammaproteobacteria; Oceanospirillales; Halomonadaceae. The record is from RNAcentral.